GCCGUCCUAGCUCAAUAGCAGAGCAGCACUUUCGUAAAGUGCAGGUUGUCGGUGCAAAUCCGACGGACGGCU
RNAcentral lists this transfer RNA (72 nucleotides) under Candidatus Nealsonbacteria bacterium CG08_land_8_20_14_0_20_36_22. Its description in RNAcentral is "tRNA-Thr". It matches the Rfam family "tRNA". Rfam says of the family: Transfer RNA (tRNA) molecules are approximately 80 nucleotides in length. Their secondary structure includes four short double-helical elements and three loops (D, anti-codon, and T loops). The record is from RNAcentral. RNAcentral also lists the same sequence under 1 other name. Lineage: Bacteria; Candidatus Nealsoniibacteriota.